This is a long non-coding RNA of Phasianus colchicus (ring-necked pheasant), 1172 nucleotides long. RefSeq lists it as uncharacterized. The record is from RefSeq and is a predicted model, not a curated record. Lineage: Eukaryota; Metazoa; Chordata; Aves; Galliformes; Phasianidae.
GCCCAGAACUGGAUACAGUACUCCAGGUGAGGCCUGACCUGGACAGAGUAGAUGGGGGAACCACCUCUCUUGACCUGCAGGCCAUGCUCCUUUUAAUGCACGCCAGGAUGCCAUUGACCUUCUCGGCCAUUGGGGCACAAUGCUGGUUCAUUGCCAAGCUGUCAUCCACCGGGAAUCCCAGGUCCUUCUCCACAAAGCUCCACUGCAGUGGCUUAUGCCCCAACCUGUAUUGAUACUCAUGGUUACUCCUUCCCAGGAAACAGAAACAGCAAGAAAGCUGCACACAAAGCUUGUAUCACUGCAAGUGUCCUGUAGAGCUCGUUGGUGCAUGGAGACUUGGCCUUUAAUGAAGAAAUUUGCAUUCAUAUGCAGGCGUGGAUGUGUGGACAUCAGUCCAGACUCUGGGACUGUUAUUUCAUUGAGUCAAAAGAAAUUUGCACAUGAAAGCCACAUCCGCAUUACUUAACUCUGCAGCUCACUCAGUAUUGGCUUCCUUUUAGACAAAACUACGUCUGAACCUCUGACUAAAUCUCCAGAGGAUUUAUUUUACUUCUCUUGGAUAUCUGCUAGAUUUGACAAGUGGUGAACACAUUCUGUGUAAAUACCAUUUGAGGUGUUACUUACCCUUUCCCCCAUUUCUGAAUUUCUUCUUAGAACAAAGCCACAUAACUGCAGAAUUUUCCCUACCUUCCUCAGCCAGUCCUACUGCCAGAUGGCAAUGUGAAGGCAUUCAUCUUUUCAAUAUAUCCAUGCCUUUCCAAUUUAAUUGCAAAAUUUAUUCUCACGUGCAAUCAGGAAUUAAAGGAAAAGGCAUGUCUGAUGGUAAAUAUCGAUUUCAAUAGACCAAAAAAAAGACUGCAAAUUGUGUUGCAAUAAGAUUGGUUAUCUGAAAUAAAACAUUAUACAGGAAAUAGAUACUGGGCCAUAGCAUACAUAAAGCUCAUUAUCAAUAUGGUCAAUUCUUCUGCCAUCAAUGCACAUGUACAAAUGCUUAUGGCUCCUCAGCUGCAAAAAUACAUUAGUGAUUCUCUACAAAUUGCAUUAAUGUUACAACACUUGGUAGGAAGGUCAGCUGUUGGCCUUUUUGGCUCCUGCUGCUAUCAUAUUUAUGAUGUAAACAUAAUUUCUCUUUCUCUCUCUCAGAUAAAUACAUAAGUGAAGCAGAAGGGAAA